Molecule: ribosomal RNA, 119 nt
Filed under: Hordeum vulgare subsp. vulgare (domesticated barley)
Lineage: Eukaryota; Viridiplantae; Streptophyta; Magnoliopsida; Poales; Poaceae
Source: RNAcentral
GGAUGCGAUCAUACCAGCACUAAAGCACCGGAUCCCAUCAGAACUCCGAAGUUAAGCGUGCUUGGGCGAGAGUAGUACUAGGAUGGGUGACCUAAUGGGAAGUCCUCGUGUUGCAUUCC